CCUACGGGUGGCAGCAGUGAGGAAUAUUGGUCAAUGGACGAGAGUCUGAACCAGCCAAGUAGCGUGAAGGAUGACUGCCCUAUGGGUUGUAAACUUCUUUUAUAUGGGAAUAAAAUGUUCCACGUGUGGGAUUUUGUAUGUACCAUAUGAAUAAGGAUCGGCUAACUCCGUGCCAGCAGCCGCGGUAAUACGGAGGUUCCGAGCGUUAUCCGGAUUUAUUGGGUUUAAAGGGAGCGUAGGUGGAUUGUUAAGUCAGUUGUGAAAGUUUGCGGCUCAACCGUAAAAUUGCAGUUGAAACUGGCAGUCUUGAGUACAGUAGAGGUGGGCGGAAUUCGUGGUGUAGCGGUGAAAUGCUUAGAUAUCACGAAGAACUCCGAUUGCGAAGGCAGUUCACUGGACUGCAACUGACACUGAGGCUCGAAAGUGUGGGUAUCAAACAGGAUUAGAUACCCGUGUAGUC
Molecule: ribosomal RNA, 460 nt
Filed under: uncultured bacterium
Lineage: Bacteria
Description: partial 16S ribosomal RNA
Rfam family: Bacterial small subunit ribosomal RNA
Source: RNAcentral